GAUCUCACGUGGCAGUUUCACUCUGAUUGGGUCCUAAACCGCCGGCCCACGUGGCAUGCCACUUGUCACUGGUACUUCUCUUUCUCUCUUUCACAGCAGCAAGUUGUGUACGAUUGCUGUUCUUAUUAGGAUCCGUCACAUCACUUCUCAGCCGGUCAGCCCCCACCUUCCUCCAUUAACCCAUCAAUCCGUGUACUCUUAUUCUGAAGACUAGAUUUUGAAGAUUCUAUGGUGAUUUCAGUUUUGGAAAUCUUUUGGUGAAUGAAGGUUGUUAGAAUUUUAAAAAUUGCAUAAUUUUAGCCUUUAAUUUUUCGUUUCCUAGUGCUCUCUGAUACCGGAUUUGUAUAACUGGUUAGAGCUUUUGUGUCCUCUGAUCCUGUAUUUCUA
Long non-coding RNA from Arabidopsis thaliana (thale cress), 387 nucleotides. RefSeq annotates it as other RNA. NCBI's taxonomy places the organism in Eukaryota, Viridiplantae, Streptophyta, Magnoliopsida, Brassicales, Brassicaceae. The transcript is spliced from 2 exons. The record is from RefSeq.